GAGACACCCUUAUGGAGCAGGACUUGCUUCAGUGGGGCUUUGGAGCUCACUGAGUCUGCCCCUUUGUGUGUUACU
This 75-nucleotide microRNA precursor is filed under the name Myotis lucifugus (little brown bat). Its description in RNAcentral is "mir-9229 microRNA precursor family". It matches the Rfam family "mir-9229 microRNA precursor family". The record is from Rfam by way of RNAcentral. Lineage: Eukaryota; Metazoa; Chordata; Mammalia; Chiroptera; Vespertilionidae.